RNAcentral lists this ribosomal RNA (498 nucleotides) under uncultured bacterium. Its description in RNAcentral is "partial 16S ribosomal RNA". It matches the Rfam family "Bacterial small subunit ribosomal RNA", at positions 28 to 523 of the family's 1533-position model. The record is from RNAcentral.
GAUGAACGCUAGCGGCAGGCCUAAUACAUGCAAGUCGGACGGGAUCGGGGAGCUUGCUCCCCGUGAGAGUGGCGCACGGGUGCGUAACACGUAUGUAACCUACCUUUAUCAGGGGGAUAGCCUCUCGAAAGAGAGAUUAACACCGCAUAACAUCACAUGAUAGCAUUAUCGAGUGAUCAAAUAUUCAUAGGAUAAAGAUGGGCAUGCGGGACAUUAGCUAGUUGGCGGGGUAACGGCCCACCAAGGCGACGAUGUCUAGGGGAUCUGAGAGGAUGACCCCCCACACUGGUACUGAGACACGGACCAGACUCCUACGGGAGGCAGCAGUAAGGAAUAUUGGUCAAUGGACGCAAGUCUGAACCAGCCAUGCCGCGUGCAGGAGGACGGCCCUACGGGUUGUAAACUGCUUUUGUACCGGAAUAAACCCUUUUACGUGUAAGAGGCUGAAUGUACGGUAAGAAUAAGGAUCGGCUAACUACGUGCCAGCAGCCGCGGUAA